UAGGGAAUAUUAGAAAUGGACGAAAGUCUGAUCUAGCAACACCGCGUGUGCGAAGAAGGCCUUCGGGUCGUAAAGCACUUUUUGGAAGGAAUAGGAAGGAAUGUACUUCCAGAAUAAGUCUCGGCUAACUACGUGCCAGCAGCCGCGGUAACACGUAGGAGGCGAACGUAUCCGGAUUUACUGGGCGUAAAGCGCGUGUAGGUGGUACUGUAAGUAGGGCGUGAAAGCUCCUGGCUCAACUGGGAGAGGCCGUUCUAAACUACAGAACUAGAGGAUGGUAGAGGGAGGUGGAAUUCCAGGUGUAGCGGUGGAAUGCGCAGAUAUCUGGAGGAACACCGGUGGCGAAGGCGGCCUCCUGGACCAUUUCUGACACUCAGACGCGAAAGCUAGGGUAGCAAACGG
This 402-nucleotide ribosomal RNA is filed under the name uncultured bacterium. RNAcentral describes it as "bacterial SSU rRNA". It matches the Rfam family "Bacterial small subunit ribosomal RNA", at positions 355 to 775 of the family's 1533-position model. The record is from RNAcentral.